This 199-nucleotide unclassified non-coding RNA is filed under the name uncultured Kabatina. RNAcentral describes it as "sequence contains ITS1". Lineage: Eukaryota; Fungi; Ascomycota. The record is from RNAcentral.
AAGAGUAAGGGAACCCGGAGGUGAAAACCGAAGGGCCAACCCGACCUCCAACCCUCUGUUGUUAUAACUACCUCGUUGCUUUGGCGGGACCGUCCGGUCCUCCGAGCGCACCAGUCUUCGGACAGGUGAGCGCCCGCCAGAGUCCAACCAAACUCUUGUUUUUAACCAGUCGUCUGAGUAUAAAAUUUUAAUUAAAUUA